GCCUCGGUGGUGUAGUGGGCAGCAAGAGUCCUUGGUAAGGAUGAAACACGGGUUCGAUUCCCGCCUGAGACC
Non-coding RNA from Parelaphostrongylus tenuis, 72 nucleotides. Lineage: Eukaryota; Metazoa; Nematoda; Chromadorea; Rhabditida; Metastrongylidae. The record is from the annotation of a GenBank genome assembly.